ACGGGAGGCAGCAGUGGGGGGUUUUGCACAAUGGGGGAAACCCUGAUGCAGCGACGCCGCGUGAGUGAAGAAGUAUUUCGGUACGUAAAGCUCUAUCAGCAGGGAAGAAAAUGACGGUACCUGACUAAGAAGCUCCGGCUAAAUACGUGCCAGCAGCCGCGGUAAUACGUAUGGAGAAAGCGUUAUCCGGAUUUACUGGGUGUAAAGGGAGCGUAGACGGCAUGGCAAGUCUGAUGUGAAAGCUAUGGGCUCAACCCAUAAACUGCAUUGGAAACUGUUAAGCUUGAGUGUCGGAGAGGUAAGCGGAAUUCCUAGUGUAGCGGUGAAAUGCGUAGAUAUUAGGAGGAACACCAGUGGCGAAGGCGGCUUACUGGACGAUAACUGACGUUGAGGCUCGAAAGCGUGGGGAGCAAACAGGAUUAGAUACCCUGGUA
Molecule: ribosomal RNA, 434 nt
Filed under: uncultured bacterium
Lineage: Bacteria
Description: partial 16S ribosomal RNA
Rfam family: Bacterial small subunit ribosomal RNA
Source: RNAcentral